This 489-nucleotide ribosomal RNA is filed under the name uncultured bacterium. Its description in RNAcentral is "bacterial SSU rRNA". It matches the Rfam family "Bacterial small subunit ribosomal RNA", at positions 97 to 602 of the family's 1533-position model. The record is from RNAcentral.
GGCGGACGGGUGAGUAACACGUGGGUAACCUGCCUCGUAGUGGGGGAAUAACUCGCCGAAAGGCGAGCUAAUACCGACAUAUAACUCCUGGUGAGAAUCCGGGAAGUAAAAGCUCCGGCGCUACGAGAGGGGCCCGCGGCCGAUUAGCUUGUUGGUGGGGUAAUGGCCUACCAAGGCGACGAUCGGUAGCUGGUCUGAGAGGAUGGUCAGCCACACGGGGACUGAGAUACGGCCCCGACUCCUACGGGGAGGCAGCAGCUAAGAAUCUUGCGCAAUGGGCGAAAGCCUGACGCAGCAAUUCCGCGUGGAGGACGAAGGCCCUCGGGUCGUAAACUCCUUUUGCGAGGGAAGAAGUUCUGACGGUACCUCGCGAAUAAGCCACGGCUAACUACGUGCCAGCAGCCGCGGUAAUACGUAGGUGGCGAGCGUUGUCCGGAUUUAUUGGGCGUAAAGAGCCGCAGGCGGCUUGGCAAGUUUCGAGUGAAAUCU